AGCCGCGGUAAUACGUAGGUGGCGAGCGUUAUCCGGAAUUACUGGGUGUAAAGGGCGCGUAGGCGGGUAUGCAAGUUGGAUGUGAAAUUCCGGGGCUUAACUCCGGAUUGUCAUCUAAAACUGUGUAUCUUGAGUGUCAGAGGGGAAAGUGGAAUUCCUAGUGGAGUGGUAAAAUGCGUAGAUAUUAGGAGGAACAUCGGUGGCGAAGGCGACUUUCUGGCUGACAACUGACGCUGAGGCGCGAAAGCGUGGGUAGCGAACAGGAUUAGAUACCCUGGUAGUCCACGCCGUAAACGCUGAUUACUAGGUGUAGGGGGUAUAGACUCCCUCUGUGCCGCAGUUAACGCAUUAAGUAAUCCACCUGGGGAGUACGGCCGCAAGGUUAAAACUCAAAGGAAUUGACGGGGGCCCGCACAAGCAGUGGAGUAUGUGGUUUAAUUCGAAGCAACGCGAAGAACCUUACCAGGGCUUGACAUCCUCGGACGACACUAGAGAUAGUGUUUUCUCUUCGGAGACUGAGAGACAGGAGGUGCAUGGCC
This 539-nucleotide ribosomal RNA is filed under the name uncultured archaeon. Its description in RNAcentral is "bacterial SSU rRNA". It matches the Rfam family "Bacterial small subunit ribosomal RNA", at positions 513 to 1050 of the family's 1533-position model. The record is from RNAcentral.